AAUCAACGCUGGCGGCGUGCCUAACACAUGCAAGUCGAACGAGAAAGUGGAGCAAUCCAUGAGUAAAGUGGCGACCGGGUGAGUAACACGUGACUAACCUACCCUCGAGUGGGGGAUAACUCCGGGAAACCGGAGCUAAUACCGCAUAACAUCGCAGGAUCAAAGCAGAAAUGCGCUUGAGGAGGGGUCGCGGCUGAUUAGCUAGUUGGUAGGGUAAUGCCUACCAAGGCUGAGAUCGGUAGCCGGCCUGAGAGGGCGCACGGCC
This 265-nucleotide ribosomal RNA is filed under the name uncultured bacterium. RNAcentral describes it as "partial 16S ribosomal RNA". It matches the Rfam family "Bacterial small subunit ribosomal RNA", at positions 32 to 309 of the family's 1533-position model. The record is from RNAcentral.